This 258-nucleotide long non-coding RNA is filed under the name Solanum tuberosum (potato). RNAcentral's name for it is "long non-coding RNA (STUB_LNC007078)". Lineage: Eukaryota; Viridiplantae; Streptophyta; Magnoliopsida; Solanales; Solanaceae. The record is from RNAcentral.
GGGAAGCCUAAUUAGGUUAAUUAAUAAUUCUAAAGUUAGAGUUGAAUAAAAACACAUAAUAAAUAAUCACAAUUAAAUAAUUUAAGAGUAAAUGAGAGAUUAAAUUUGGGCCCUUUUUGGGCCUGCUGCAAUUUUUGGGGGGUUUAAUUCUAAACCCGUUUUUGUAUACACCUCAUGUAUAUUAGUGUAUAUUAACGUGUAUAUCAACCCUUUUCAUGCAUUUCUUGCUUCCAAACACAUGUAUUUCGCCUCAACCCU